Long non-coding RNA from Ipomoea nil (Japanese morning glory), 348 nucleotides. RefSeq lists it as uncharacterized. The transcript is spliced from 2 exons. The record is from RefSeq and is a predicted model, not a curated record. NCBI's taxonomy places the organism in Eukaryota, Viridiplantae, Streptophyta, Magnoliopsida, Solanales, Convolvulaceae.
CUGAGCUGUUUCUUGCCUGCAGUUGGUCGAUGACCUACGAGGACUUGCUGUCAACCAACAAGCCUUUCGCUGAGCGAAUUUCUUUACCUGAGAUGGUCAACUUUUUGGUUGAUGUUUGGUACGAUGAGGGGCUUUUCGACUAAAAGAUGUUCAGAAGAGCUGUUGUGAGCAGGCAGUCUAUAGUCAUUCAGGAUAACAUGGCAGAUAUUGCUGUUUGACAGUAACAUAGGCAUCUGUCAAAUUUAACCCAGUCAAAUUUAGAUUACAUAAAUUUUUAUUAUCAAAUUCUUCUGUUUACUGAUCAUCUUACAAGCCUUAAUGUAUGGUUUCUAGCUGCGGACUAUGGCA